UUGCCUGAUGAACUCAAAAUUCGCUGUGUUCUUCCUGAGUUUUCAUUGAAGAAACAAAUUUGAUUCACCUUGGAGAACUGAGCA
RNAcentral lists this small nucleolar RNA (84 nucleotides) under Xylona heveae TC161. RNAcentral describes it as "A. fumigatus snoRNA Afu_294". It matches the Rfam family "A. fumigatus snoRNA Afu_294". Lineage: Eukaryota; Fungi; Ascomycota; Xylonomycetes; Xylonales; Xylonaceae. The record is from Rfam by way of RNAcentral.